UUUUUAUGUUUGACAAGACCUUCGGACUUGUGCCUACAUACCAACAUAAAAAUGAGGGAUCAAAACCUCGUAGUUCGUGGUAUCAAUUUCAAAGUGAGUGCAUCGGUUUGAAUGAGUAUUAGUUCUUUUUGGCUUUUGAAAUUUUAAGUCAAGUAUAGUUAAGUUUAUUCACAGGUUUAAUUAAGAAAAGGAGUUUGAAAAUGCAAUGGCA
RNAcentral lists this long non-coding RNA (211 nucleotides) under Lathyrus oleraceus (garden pea). RNAcentral describes it as "Pisum sativum (pea) long non-coding RNA (PSAT_LNC032066)". The record is from RNAcentral. Lineage: Eukaryota; Viridiplantae; Streptophyta; Magnoliopsida; Fabales; Fabaceae.